GUUGCGUCACGGGUCGAUUUAAUCAUGACUUAUGAGUGACAAUACACUCGAUGUCGAAGGCAUUGUAACCCAACAAGUGGGGAGUUCGGUUUGGUCGGGACAAAUCGAACGAUCUGCGGUAGCAGCGAUAAAUGACGUGUGUGGUUGCAGGUUGAGCCAUGCCCUGAUGUCGUUGUUACUUUCCGAUGCUGAUGAUGUUUGUCAAUUGUUGUGGCGAUGUCAAGUUGCUUGGGGAUCUUAGUUUAACUUUGAUCUUAGUUUUACGCUUAACUGGUUUCUUCACGAGGCCUGCACCAUCAGUCCGAUUGUAUGGCACGUUGUUGCUUUAUAACAGCCUUAUGAUCGGAUUGUUGGUGUAACCGAUGACAUGAUUUAGCUUGUUAAUCUUAAAACUGCGGAUUGCAAUUUGACGUGGUUGCGAUAGUUGAUGAAUGUUGUUGAAUGUGAUGCAAGGCGGUUUUUGUUGGAUGCGUUGUUGGUGAAGACAUUCGUCUCGAGGGGAUGCGGUGUCAAGUUGCCUGAGUAUCCUGGUUUUGAGCUACUGAGCUUAAAACACCUGGAUUAUCGGUUGGUGACAAGGCAUCGCUCCCUUGGUUGAUGAAUGUCAUCCAAUGAUGCAGUGGUUUGUUCGUUUUCUUCUCGCAUCGCUCGGUGCAUCCUGGGGUCAUUUCGGCCGGUCGCAGCUUGCUUGGCAAUUGCGCUUGGUGGGUUGCUUCUGGUUGGGUGUCUUCGGGGAUGUCUACCGUAAAGGUGCAUGAGUGGUGUUUGGUUUGUUACGGGUAGUUGGCUCUUUGCUUGCGCAACAACUUCUACCUGGCAUACCUCUUCAGUCUUGUGUCAAUGCUUGUAUUGCAUUGAAUGCAUGGUGGGUUUCUUGUGUUGCAUGCCUAAUUAAUGGUAUCGCUUGAUGUAUUGGUUUUCCUUUCGUCUUGCGUCGCCUAUGCGAUGUGAGAUGAACCUUGAAGCAGCCUUUGUGACCCACUCUUUUGAUGCACACGCAUUGAUUUUGUGGCCCAUUGAGUGUUGCUUGGUCUCAUGGAUAUGGAACCUGGUGUGGGCAUGGAAUCUUAAUGGUUCCUUGUGUGCCCAAGUUUAGCUUUUCUAAAACGAUUGUCU
Molecule: unclassified non-coding RNA, 1116 nt
Filed under: Helichrysum nudifolium
Lineage: Eukaryota; Viridiplantae; Streptophyta; Magnoliopsida; Asterales; Asteraceae
Description: contains 5' external transcribed spacer, ETS
Source: RNAcentral